GCGUCUACCUCUGGCUAGAAUUAAAAUGAAUUUUCUUCUGACCGUGAUUGUUCUAUUGGCUGUAACUGAAAGGAUGAAAGCCGAUGAAGCUAGUUGUACGGAAGCUACAUCAACCUGUUUAUUAUCUAAUGUCAUGGUUGAAUCAGCUACAACAUGCAGUGAAAGGGAACCGUAUUUUAAAUGUUUAAGGGAUAAAGGCUGUCAAGUGGGUUUCAGUAGCUACGACGAG
Molecule: long non-coding RNA, 229 nt
Organism: Patella vulgata (common limpet)
Lineage: Eukaryota; Metazoa; Mollusca; Gastropoda; Patellidae
Exons: 3
Source: RefSeq, a predicted model, not a curated record